UACGGGGGGGGCAAGCGUUGUCCGGAUUUAUUGGGCGUAAAGAGCUCGUAGGCGGUUUGUCGCGUCGACUGUGAAAACCCGAGGCUUAACCUCGGGCCUGCAGUCGAUACGGGCAGACUAGAGUUCGGUAGGGGAGACUGGAAUUCCUGGUGUAGCGGUGAAAUGCGCAGAUAUCAGGAGGAACACCGGUGGCGAAGGCGGGUCUCUGGGCAGUAACUGACGCUGAGGAGCGAAAGCGUGGGGAGCGAACAGG
RNAcentral lists this ribosomal RNA (253 nucleotides) under uncultured bacterium. Its description in RNAcentral is "partial 16S ribosomal RNA". It matches the Rfam family "Bacterial small subunit ribosomal RNA", at positions 524 to 776 of the family's 1533-position model. The record is from RNAcentral.